This 400-nucleotide ribosomal RNA is filed under the name uncultured bacterium. RNAcentral describes it as "bacterial SSU rRNA". It matches the Rfam family "Bacterial small subunit ribosomal RNA", at positions 524 to 898 of the family's 1533-position model. The record is from RNAcentral.
UACGUAGGAUCCGAGCGUUGUCCGGAAUUACUGGGUGUAAAGGGCGUGUAGGUGGGUCUCUAAGUCGGUGGUGAAAUCCUGCAGCUUAACUGUAGAAUUGCCCUCGAUACUGGAGAUCUUGAGUGCGGUAGAGGGAGAUGGAAUUCAUGGUGUAGCGGUGAAAUGUGUAGAUAUCAUGAAGAACACCAGUCGCGAAGGCGGUCUCCUGGUCCGCUACUGACACUGAGGCGCGAAAGCGUGGGGAGCAAACAGGAUUAGAUACCCUGGUAGUCCACGCCUUAAACGAUGGGUACUAGGUGUUGGUCCCGCUCGGUGCUUGCUUCGGCAAGCUUCGAGCGGGGCCAGCGCCAAAGCUAACGCAUUAAGUACCCCACCUGGGGAGUACGAUCGCAAGGUUGAA